UUUUAUUUGGCAGAAAAUUGCAUUAGAUUUAGAAUCUAAUUAUACUAACUAUUUCCUUAAUUAAUU
This 66-nucleotide transfer RNA is filed under the name Trichonephila clavipes. RNAcentral's name for it is "tRNA-Leu". The record is from RNAcentral. Lineage: Eukaryota; Metazoa; Arthropoda; Arachnida; Araneae; Nephilidae.